GAGCCUGGGAAGCAAGGAAGAGAGACGAUGGGAUGUGGGCAGAGGCAGAAGAAUUCUAUGCAUUUGGAGUGCUGCAGAGGGAGCUGCAUCUGCUUCUGCCGCUGGAAACCAAUCAUCUGUAGCUAAGUCCCUUCCUCUGAACAUUCAGACUAUCUCAACUCCAGGUACAAAUCUGGACAGUCCCAGUCACAUUCAGACAUGCUAGAAAGACAUGUCAGGCUCCAAAACCAGUAACAACUCCUCCUCUCGGGCCUGGUUAUCACAGCCUCCAGGGCACAACAAGCUUCUGCUGCACUUUUAAAAUAAGAAUCCACACCUCUAAGCUAUGUCACCAGUAGACUGCAAUCACUCUCAUUCAUGACACACAAGAAAGCUGCAUUAUGGGACUUAUCCUGCUCUCAUUGACUUCAAUGGUGGAAGAUGAGUGCCUUGAUUCUCUCCUUUAACAGGAUUCAACCUUUUGCCAUUGUCAGGUGCACUGUCACGUGCUAUGUCUGAUCUUUGAAACAUCUUUUCAUAACAGAGGUGCAACAACAUAAGUAAAAUUGGUGGUGGUGGCGGGGGCAGAAUGACAUGAAGUUAAUAUGCAUGAGUCCUGCUACUAAAUUGUAUGGUACAUGUAUAACAAAGCAAAAAACUGAGGGAGACAUGUCCCUCCAUCUUCCUCCUCCCUCUCCUCCAAGUGGUGCCAGCUAAGUGAAAUGGACAAUGAGAUUAUGGAGAAUCUGUACAGACUACUAUGAAUGACAAUUCAAGCAGUCAGAGUUUUGCCUGUGGGGAGAGCCCCCUGAACCGAACAUGAAGACCAUAAAUCAUAAAUGAAGGCUGAGACAGGAAAGGCAUAGGAUCUUAAGAAGCCAUGGACUAGGUUGUGAAGGACCCACAAAAAACAUUACCGAUGCAUUAAGUUCCAAUGAGAAGGGCUGACUUAAAAGGUAACUGAACUCAUUUUUACCCAGACUGUAAAAAAACCCACCAAAGUUCUGCGAAUUUCAGAUUAAAAAGAAAAUCAGAAUCUAUUCGGGUUCUCUUGACUGCUUUAGAAGCUUUUGCGCCUGCUACUAGGUUCUUUGCAAUAUUUGCAUCUACAUAAGUGGAAGCUAGAGUUUAAGGCUAAUUGUACAAAAAGUAUUUUCCAGAUAUAUCAUGAUUUUAGUAACACCUCUACCUUCUGAUAAACCACUAUCAAAAUUUACAAUUCAGACCUGGUAUAAACAGAUGCAUCUCCAUUAAUUACUCACAUCAAGUCUGAAUUUGCCCCACUGUGUUUCAUGGUUCUCGAUAUUUCUCAUCUCUUGCAAAUAGCUGACUAUUCUGUUUUGUUGCACAUUUAGUAGUACAAAGCACAUAGAAAUGGGACUUUCAUUUUAUGCCAUUUGCAAAAUACACCUGUACUAUUUUAUUUCUCAAGCAUAUUCUGAGGUUUAAACAUGCUACAGAAAUACCAUGUAAAGAAUAGACAAAAUCUUAAGAGCCUCACUCAAGAAAACAAUAUGUAAUAAAAACUUUAAGACUUGCGAGAACACACUGCUACCAUACAGGUUCCAUGAGCUGUGAAAAUGUAGUUUGAUAAAUUUUGAUGACUGGCUAUCCAUACUGUGUUUAUUCAAAGAAGCACUUAUAAAGAACACCUAAAUAGGAGACUGAUUGACAAGUAGCAUUAGAAAUCUUGAAGCAAGUUAGCAAUUAUAUCUAAAAAGAUUAUAAAAGGGAAGACACUGUACAGUUUUCACAACCCUUGCUGUAAAAGGGCAUAAAGGCAUUACUUGACAGCUUUGGUGAAGUGGGGAACAGCGGCCUAUGGGCUCAAGCACCAUGAGAUGUCUUUUCAAUAGAGGUUCUGACUUGUGGAGCCUACUGAAUUCCAUGACUGGCCCAAGCAUGAUAUUUAAGGCCUAGGGAAAACAUCUAGAGCCUGUCUGUGCAACAGGGUGGAUCCCUGGCUUACUGCUGCAAACAGACCCUGAUGCCCACCCUGAGCUCCAAAAGUUUAAAUAUGCCUCAGAAAUCCCAUGAUAACUUACUCCUGAUAUUUAGCCUCUCUCCUGGUCCUGGUCCUCUGCUCCCGACUCCUCACCCUGCCUCAGUUCUUGGUCCCCUGCUCCACUCCUGACUCCUGGCCCUGCCUCUGUCCCACAAACCUUAGUUUGGCUGAUGCACUUCGCUCUUCCCUGGUGGGGCUCAUUGACCUCAAAUUCAACCUAAUCCUAAAACUGAUGCGCCUGAUUUUGACCCUCUCAACUGUACUUGGACCAAGUCCUCUCCACUGAAGGCCCUGACCUCGACCCAUACCCUGUAAAAGUCAGGGUCCUGAAGAUACCAACAUUCCUGCAUCAUCUGGAGGUUUUGCAUUGUUCUGAACAACUAAGGAAUUCAGAAAUCUUGAACCUCAUUUUCAGAAGUGCUGAGAAUCCAUAACUCAGUGGAAAUAAAUAAAAGCUGUGAGAAGACAGGCUGAAAUCACCUCUAAAGCCAUCCUUGUUAAAGUAAAAAUAAAUUAUACAGUUCAUUAUUUUUCAGAGAAAGGAACUGUCCAAUCUUGCUAAGAAUUGUCAGAUGGGCUUCCACAGUUGUAAGAAAUUUUAGGCUCUUCCUCCUCUGCUCCCAACUGCAUCCUGUAAUUUUCAGUUCUGGUUGCUGAUGCUCUAAAUCUGGUCAGCAUAACAAUUUAUUACACACUUAUCAGUGACUCAUCCACAUACUUAAAGAUCUCAAGUAUGAAUCAUGUCUGUCGAAUUCUUAUUAUAGUCUAUAAAGGCUGGUUUACAUCGAUGUACUAUAGAACACAGUGAGCAAAUAAGGGAGACUUUGAUGUUGAAGAAUUGCCUAGUUGCCUGAGCUUUCUGGAGAGGAUUUAACUUAAAGGUAAAAUCUUUGUUUUCAGUAUCACAUCUCCCCAUUUUAAAAAGUGCUUCAGUUUUACAGAGUUAAUAAAAAGGAUGAUCUAAUAAAAUGUUCAAUAUUAAAUGUACUGUUUAGAAUAUAUUGUUAUAGCUCUUAUGAUAGCUUGACAAACCUACUUGGAGGAAGAAAUAUCAUUGCUGCUGCUGCCCGCAGCCUAUAUGUAUAAAUUGACCUAAAUCUACUCUUUCAAUGUCAGAUGACAAAAUCAAAAUGAGAGUGGGUUGGCAGCAUAAAUAUAAGCUAUAUAUUAAAAGAUAUAGCAUGGAAACUCUGCCUUCUAAAGUCAGAAUUCCGAACACAGAAACCACACAAAACUAAUGCUAAUUGAUAUCACAUGUUCUUUAUCAAAGCUUCCUCAAGAAAAGCAGCUUAAGGGAAAAUCCAUAAAUGUGUCUUGACCACAGUCUACCAAUCUUUUUCCAUAUUGGAGCCUUUAGCUAAUUUGUUGGUUUAAUUAUCAUAGGCACAGGAAAGUUUGCAAAAGUGAUAAUCUUGCAUUCUUUGAUGGCUGAUUAUAUAAAGUAGUCUUUAUGAAGUAAAAAUAAACCUUGACCCUUAAGUAUAAUAUCUGAACUCUAAAAAUUAGUUUCUCUCUAAAUCUGGAAGCAUAGUCUUCUACUACUACUAUUGUCUGUGAACUAAAUUCAGAAAAAAUAAUAAACACUGAAGUUCUGAAAUCGAUGAUAGACAAGUUUAGCUGCUGCCUAUGGAAAUUUGGGAUAAAUUGGCCAAAUUGGAUAAAUGGGGUUUUAGCCUUUGUCAUCUCAGGGAAUAUAGAGGGUUGUUAGGUAAUUGAUUCUACUGUGCCAUUUACAUAUCUUUAAUUGGAUAGGAAGUAUGAACUAUUGCAAUAUUCUGAAGGUAUUAGCAGAAGGUCAAACAGAAAAGAGUUGUAGAGGGAGGAGGAAGAAGUAAUUGAAGAGACAGAAGAGGAUUACGAAAGUCUUUAAGGAGUCUGCAUCUGGCAAGACAUAAAAUAGGUCAAGAAGCAAAAAAAUGGGAGGUCAGUCACUUUUACUAGAAUACUCCACCCCCAAAUAUUCCCACGUAUAUACAAAACCCCCAGAAAAAUAUUACAUUAACAACCAGUAACUGUCCCAAGCCAGCUAUUGAUAUUACGGUAAUGGUUUGGAAUUUUAUGCUAGGAAUAAACACUAAGUUAUUUAUGCUGCACAACAAUUAACCAAGGAAGAUGAAGUGUAUAUCUGAAGGCACCAUUGCUGAAAUGCUCUUUAGAAAAGCAAUAUUGGCUAGAAUGAGAACAUUACACGAAAACUGAUAAUCUAUGGUCAAAUGAUUUUAUAUCCAUCAUGGCUCAUUUGAGAAUAUUCUGGUCUAUCACCUCUGCCUCCUCCAACUUUUCCAACUCCUCCAAACCAAACGGUCCUUAGGAAAUAGAUCUUUGCUGCAAAAUUAUUCCUUAGAAAAAGUAUAACAUGGCAACUAAGCAUUGCUAGCACCAUUAGUGCCUCAGGGGACUGUACCACUCCUCUUAAGACAACGAGAACUGGUGGUGACUGGAGCAUGAGAACAAGAUAAGUUAAAGACACUAUUUAUUUGGGGAGUGUUAGGAAAUUUUAAUUAGUGAAUAUAUAUCUAUAAUUUCACUGUAAUUUAAGACACUGAAGUUGCUUCUUUUGGACUGAUGUGUCAACCUAGGCCACAGUAAAGUACAUACAAUUGUUCAUUUAGCAUUUUAAUUUUUAAAAAUAUUGGUAUAACCUUUUCUAUUUGUUUCUGUGAUGUUAUCUGAUUAAAAUAUAAUCAUAUAGUUCAUUGUUGCAACCGCUGAUCUAUUUGCAACAAAUCUUGUACAAAAUGUGGCAUGCAAGAUGUGUAUGAAAAGGUUAUGAUUUGCUGGUUAUGAUUAUGUUAUUUGUAUGCAUGUAUCAUUUUUAUAUUUGAAGUUGAGUAUUGGCUCUAUACCUGUAUUUCAAAUGUUUGCUCCUGGGGUAAUGCCCACAAGACAGUUAGCCAGAACAUCUUGGAGGGACUAUUCAAAAUGAGUAGCCCAUCAAAAGGACACAACUCAAAAUGGACCAUGGAAGACACCCAUCUAAACUGAAUAGACUUUCCUGUAGACGUUCAACCUGAAGUACUGGUAAUGGUUUCCUUCAAUGACUAGGCGAAAUCAGGUAUGGACAUGUGACUUGCCCAUGUGACUCCAAACACCCAUCUUUUACCUGUAAUUUUCCACUAGCUGUGCUGAGGACUUUUUUUGAAACAAUAGGUUUCCCACUACAUGGCAGAAGCUAUAAAAGGCCCUGGAAACACCCCCAUUUUGCCUCUUUCCUCCUCAAACCUCUGAACUAUGGACUUAUACUAAUGGGAGCAUUGUAAC
Non-coding RNA from Chrysemys picta bellii (western painted turtle), 5245 nucleotides. Lineage: Eukaryota; Metazoa; Chordata; Testudines; Emydidae. The record is from RefSeq and is a predicted model, not a curated record.